This 152-nucleotide non-coding RNA is filed under the name human gut metagenome. The record is from RNAcentral.
GUCGCAGGCAUUGAAAAGGGAAUCGGGUGAGAAGCCCGAACAGACGCGCUGCCGUAAGUUUCAAACCAAACUCUUCUAUCUCUCAAGCCACUGAGACACUCUCUCGGGAAGGCAGAAGAGCGAAACGAGUCGGAAGACCUGCCAUGACAACC